GCAGACACAUUCCAGCCAAUCAGCAGCAGACCCUCCCUCCCAGACCCUCCCACCUCCUGGACAGCAUCCAUUUUGAAGCUGCAUUCUUAGUGAGCUGUCCAGGAAGUGGGAGGGUCUGGGAGGGAGGGUCUGCUGCUGAUUGGCUGGAAUGUGUCUG
This is a non-coding RNA of Pelobates cultripes (western spadefoot toad), 157 nucleotides long. NCBI's taxonomy places the organism in Eukaryota, Metazoa, Chordata, Amphibia, Anura, Pelobatidae. The record is from the annotation of a GenBank genome assembly.